Molecule: ribosomal RNA, 253 nt
Filed under: uncultured bacterium
Lineage: Bacteria
Description: partial 16S ribosomal RNA
Rfam family: Bacterial small subunit ribosomal RNA
Source: RNAcentral
UACGUAGGUGGCGAGCGUUGUCCGGAAUUACUGGGUGUAAAGCGCGUGUAGGCGGGAGGCCAAGUCUGCGGUGAAAUCGCUCGGCUCAACUGGGCGGGGUCCGUGGAAACUGGUCACCUGGAGGACGGUAGAGGCGAGUGGAAUUCCCGGUGUAGUGGUGAAAUGCGUAGAGAUCGGGAGGAACACCAGUGGCGAAGGCGGCAUCCUGGACUGGUCCUGACACUCAUGAGCGAAAGCGUGGGGAGCGAUCCGG